RNAcentral lists this ribosomal RNA (1314 nucleotides) under uncultured rumen protozoa. Its description in RNAcentral is "SSU rRNA". It matches the Rfam family "Eukaryotic small subunit ribosomal RNA", at positions 326 to 1778 of the family's 1831-position model. The record is from RNAcentral.
CGGUAGUGUAUUGGACUACCAUGGCACUCACGGGUAACAGGGAAUUGGGGUUCGAUUCUGGAGAAGGAGCCUGAGAAACGGCUACUACAUCUACGGAAGGCAGCAGGCGCGUAAAUUACCCAAUCCUGACUCAGGGAGGUGGUGACAAGAUAUAACGACGUACUUAAAAAUGCGAUUGGAGUGAGGGUUUUCCAAAUAGAACUUCUAGAACUAUUAGAGGGCAAGUCUGGUGCCAGCAGCCGCGGUAAUUCCAGCUCUAAUAGCGUAUAUUAAAGUUGCUACAGUUAAAAAGCUCGUAGUUGGAUUUCAAGGAUUCUUAUGAUCUUCUUGAUCAUAAAUCCUACUGUCCUCGGACUGUUACUGUGAGAAAAUCAGAGUGUUUCAAGCAGGCUUUUGCAAGAAUACAUUAGCAUGGAAUAACGAAUGUACUCAGAACCUUGGUUUGUUCUGAAUUACGAUUAAUAGAGACAGUUGGGGGCAUUAGUAUUUAAUAGUCAGAGGUGAAAUUCUUGGAUUUGUUAAAGACUAACGUAUGCGAAAGCAUUUGCCAAGGAUGUUUUCAUUAAUCAAGAACGAAAGAUAGGGGAUCAAAGACAAUCAGAUACUGUCGUAGUCCUAUCUAUAAACUAUGCCGACUAGGGAUUGGCGUGUAUCAUAAUAUCACUUCAGUACCUUAUGAGAAAUCAAAGUUUUUGGGUUCUGGGGGGAGUAUGGUCGCAAGACUGAAACUUAAAGAAAUUGACGGAAGGGCACCACCAGGAGUGGAGCCUGCGGCUUAAUUUGACUCAACACGGGGAAACUUACCAGGUCCAGACAUAGGAAGGAUUGACAGAUUGAGAGCUCUUUCUUGAUUCUAUGGGUGGUGGUGCAUGGCCGUUCUUAGUUGGUGGAGUGAUUUGUCUGGUUAAUUCCGAUAACGAACGAGACCUUAACCUGCUAACUAGUGCUAUUCAUUUUAUGUUUAGUCACUUCUUAGAGGGACUAUGAUACGAUUUAAGUUCAUGGAAGUUUGAGGCAAUAACAGGUCUGUGAUGCCCUUAUAUGUCCUGGGCUGCACGCGUGCUACACUGAUACAUACAACAAGUGCCUAGCUAGACAUAGCAUGGUAAUCUGCAAUAUGUAUCGUGAUGGGGAUAGAUCUUUGCAAUUAUAGAUCUUGAACGAGGAAUUCCUAGUAAGUGCAAGUCAUCAUCUUGCAUUGAUUAUGUCCCUGCCCUUUGUACACACCGCCCGUCGCUCCUACCGAUACCGGGUGUCCUGGUGAACCUAUUGGACCUCGCAAGAGGAAAAAUAAGUAAAUCAUAUCACUUAGAG